This is a long non-coding RNA of Antechinus flavipes (yellow-footed antechinus), 2663 nucleotides long. RefSeq lists it as uncharacterized. The transcript is spliced from 2 exons. NCBI's taxonomy places the organism in Eukaryota, Metazoa, Chordata, Mammalia, Dasyuromorphia, Dasyuridae. The record is from RefSeq and is a predicted model, not a curated record.
CUACUAUUCAAUUCUAGAUGGAUUCUAUGAAGUGGCAAAGGUCCAAGAGUGGAUUCAAAAGACUCUGCUUGGGUAACAGCUAUAUGAACUCCACCACCAAUGUCAACAGUUCUCUGGGGGCAGGAAGAGCAGUGGAUGCAGAAAGUCUCUGGUGAACUUUUGGCUGCUCUUCUCAUGGGGAUUACUCAUUGACUAUGUUCCUGGAAUUGUUUCUGUUUCUCCUUUCCCACCCACCAUUCAUGAAGUGCCACAGUGCAAACACCCUCCUUUCUGUAUAUAAAUCCUGAAGGGAAGUAGAGAAAAGAGGACCUCAUUCCUGGCCAACUAAAAGGAUCUCUUUCUACACUUCUGAACAGGAAAUACAAGACAAUCUUCUAGAUUGCAGAUGGAUUUCGUUGCUGGAGCCAUUGGAGGUAAAGAGAGACAGAGACAGAGAGAGAAAGAAAUGAAGGAAGAAAGAAAGAAAGAAAAAGAAACAAAGGAAAAAGAGAGAGAAAGAAAAGGAAGAAAGAAAGAAAAAAGAAAGAAAUGAGAGAUAGGGAAAAAAAAGAGUUGUGUUAGGAAUGAUUAAAAACCAUCUGUUAGGUAGAGUCCUGAACAGUAUUUGCAUGGAAAGUGUUGGAUUAUAUGGAGAAAAUUAAGAUCCAAAGAGUUAAUCUGAUAUUUCAGUUUGCCAAGACUCACAGGAAAAUCAUCAUGUCCAGCAACUUGUUUGAGCUUUAUUUUAGAAUCAUAUAAUAUACAAUGUCAGAGAUUAAAGAGGCCUGGAAAGCUCUCCCUCAUUUCUGUCCUCUGGACUUCCUUCAACUCCUAGCUAAAAUCCCACCUUGUGUGGGAAGACUUCCCUAGUUUCUUAAUUCUUUGCUCUGCUGAUUAUUUCCAGUUUAUCUUGUUUAUAGUUUGUCUGUACUAGUUGUUUGCAUAUUUUCUUUCCCAUUAGACUAAACUCUUUGAGAGUUUUGUCUUUCUUUGCUUUCUCAGAAUAUGGCACAGUGCUUGACAUGUAGUUGAUAUUUAAUAAAUGCUUUUUAUCUGACUUAGAAAUAUAGAAUAUAGAUUUUCAGAAUUAGAAAAUACUUUGGAAAUCACAAAAUAUAGAAUGUUAGAGCUAGAAUUUUGGAGUAGAAGGGACCUUAGUGCUUGUAGAUUUAAUUUAGAUCAAGGAAUUGAGGAAGUGAGACAUACUUACACGCUUACAUACACGCUUAAGAAUAUAUGACAUUUAACAUUCUAGUGCACACAGAGCCUUGUUGUCUAUGUCUUAAAUCCAGACCUGUAGUUUAUCACCUCCACUUUGCUGAGGGUUGAGAAGGAAUGUUUCAUCAUCAUUCUUCUGUAGUCAUGAUUGAUUAUUGCUUGAUCAAGUUCUGAAGUCUUGCAAAGUUUGUUCUACUGAUUUUGCUCACUUUACUCUGCAUGGGUUCAUACAAAUUUUCAAAGAUUUCUUUGAAUCUUCAUUUUUGGUCAUUUCUUAAAACACACUAAUAUUCUAUUGUGUUGUUUCGCCAUGGUUUGUUCCACUAUUCCUCAGUUUGCCAAGACUCAUAGGAAAAUCAUUUCCUAUUUCCAGGUUUUUUUGGCAUAAGAAAAAAUGCUGUUAUAGAUGUUUUUGUACAUAUGGGCCCUUUCUUUGAUCUCUUUAGUGGGUACAUGUCUCAUAGUAGCAUAACUAUCAGUAGUAGUAUUACUAUGUAGUUCAAAGGAUAUGCAGAAUUUAGUGAGUUUUGAAAUAUAAUAUCAAAUCACUUUCUUCUUAAAAGACUUUAUUAAGGCCAUUUAAUUGAAUAAUACAUUUAACAAAAUACAAUUGGCAUGAAUUUAAUUUGUAUAUAAAAAUAAAUUUCUUUUUCUUCAUUAAAAUUCUAGUAGGGCAUUCUUAAAACCCAAACCUUUCCUUAGAUUACAACUAUGGCCUAUGUAAAUUAGUAAUUAAAUUCAAAUUAAUAGGUAUUUUAGGGCUUACAGUAUGCAGAACAUUGUGUAAAGCUCCAGGGGGCAGAUGGAUAAAUAAUAGUUGGUACUGCCCUCAUAUAGCUAUCUGCCAUCUUUAUUUGCCUGUCAACUACUAAAAAUUGACUUGAUGGCAUGGACAAUUGUGGUUUAAAUGUGCCUGUUGACCCUGAAAUCUGGAUAGAAGAGACAAAUAAAGAAUGUCCAUCAAUAAUUGUGAUUUAAACAGAAAUCCCAUCUUCACCCAAGGGGUGGGAGGGGGGACAUUACAACAGUGAUUCAUGUGUGUUUUGAGCCCAAUUGCCUAUCCCUUGCUUCAGGAGAACUGAGAAAAGGGGAAAAUCACUUUCUAAAAGAGUGCAACCAAUUCAUAGUUCUAUCAACAAGAUUUCAAUGUGCCUAUCCUCCCAGAGCCCCUCCAACAAUUCAAAUAACAUCUUUCUUGAAUCCUACAAUAGCUAGAUGAUAGUGGAUAGAGUGUCUAGCUUGAAAUCAGGAAGACUCAUCUCCCUGAAUUAAAAUCUGACUUCAAGACACUUAUUAGUUCUAUAACCCUAGACAAGUCACUUAACUCUGUUUGCUUUACUUCUUCAUCUACAAAAUGAUCUAGAGGAAAAAAAAUGGCACAUCAUUCUAGUAUCUUGGUCAAAAAAAUCCCAAAUAGUAUCAUGAAGAAUUGGACAUGACUGAAAUGACUGAAAAACAAAAACAAA